RNAcentral lists this ribosomal RNA (253 nucleotides) under uncultured bacterium. Its description in RNAcentral is "partial 16S ribosomal RNA". It matches the Rfam family "Bacterial small subunit ribosomal RNA", at positions 524 to 776 of the family's 1533-position model. The record is from RNAcentral.
UACGUAGGGGGCAAGCGUUGUCCGGAAUCAUUGGGCGUAAAGCGCGUGUAGGCGGCCAGAUAAGUCCGCUGUGAAAUCUCGAGGCUUAACUUCGAGCUGUCGGUGGAAACUGUCUGGCUAGAGUCCGGAAGAGGAGAAUGGAAUUCCUGGUGUAGCGGUGAAAUGCGCAGAUAUCAGGAAGAACACCCGUGGCGAAGGCGGUUCUCUGGGACGGUACUGACGCUGAGACGCGAAAGCGUGGGGAGCGAACAGG